Molecule: ribosomal RNA, 206 nt
Filed under: uncultured bacterium
Lineage: Bacteria
Description: partial 16S ribosomal RNA
Rfam family: Bacterial small subunit ribosomal RNA
Source: RNAcentral
CGUGUAGGCGGUCAGGUAAGUGGGACGUGAAAUGCCCCGGCUCACCCGAGGAGCGGCGUCCCAUACUGCUUGGCUUGAGUACGGGAGAGGAUGUGGGAAUUCCUGGUGUAGCGGUGAAAUGCGUAGAUAUCAGGAGGAACACCGGUGGCGAAGGCGCACAUCUGGCCCGAUACUGACGCUGAGGCGCGAAAGCUAGGGAGCAAACG